ACAGGGUGACAGGUGGUGCAUGGUUGUCGUCAGCUCGUGUCGUGAGAUGUUGGGUUAAGUCCCGCAACGAGCGCAACCCUCGCCUCUAGUUGCCAGCAUUCGGUUGGGCACUCUAGAGGGACUGCCGGCUAAAAGUCGGAGGAAGUGGGGAUGACGUCAAAUCAUCAUGCCCCUUAUGACCUGGGCUACACACGUGCUACAAUGGGCGGUACAAAGGGUCGCGAACCCGCGAGGGGGAGCCAAUCCCAAAAAGCCGCUCUCAGUUCGGAUUGCAGGCUGCAACUCGCCUGCAUGAAGCCGGAAUCGCUAGUAAUCGCGGAUCAGCAUGCCGCGGUGAAUACGUUCCCGGGCCUU
RNAcentral lists this ribosomal RNA (354 nucleotides) under uncultured Anoxybacillus sp. RNAcentral's name for it is "bacterial SSU rRNA". It matches the Rfam family "Bacterial small subunit ribosomal RNA", at positions 1026 to 1382 of the family's 1533-position model. The record is from RNAcentral. Lineage: Bacteria; Bacillati; Bacillota; Bacilli; Caryophanales; Anoxybacillaceae.